CAGUAAGUAGUUUAUAAAAAAAUUUUAAUUUUGGAAAUUAAAGAAAUUCUUUUUUACUGA
RNAcentral lists this transfer RNA (60 nucleotides) under Paurocephala sauteri. RNAcentral describes it as "tRNA-Pro". The record is from RNAcentral. Lineage: Eukaryota; Metazoa; Arthropoda; Insecta; Hemiptera; Liviidae.